AUCUUCCAGAUUCUGUAUCCACCAGACCUCAGCUCUGGUCAGCGUGGUUACAAAAGGAGGAAACGUAAAAUUGAAACAGACUUAAAUGCUUUCGUGACACACAAGUUCGUUUCAAACAAAC
Molecule: small nucleolar RNA, 121 nt
Filed under: Echinops telfairi (small Madagascar hedgehog)
Lineage: Eukaryota; Metazoa; Chordata; Mammalia; Afrosoricida; Tenrecidae
Description: Small nucleolar RNA SNORA61 (ENSETEG00000024612.1)
Source: RNAcentral